UACGUAGGGUGCGAGCGUUGUCCGGAAUUAUUGGGCGUAAAGGGCUCGUAGGCGGUCUGUUGCGUCAGGAGUGAAAACUCGGGGCUUAACCCCGAGCCUGCUUCUGAUACGGGCAGACUAGAGGUAUGCAGGGAAGAACGGAAUUCCUGGUGUAGCGGUGAAGUGCGCAGAUAUCAGGAGGAACACCGGUGGCGAAGGCGGUUCUCUGGGCAUUACCUGACGCUGAGGAGCGAAAGUGUGGGGAGCGAACAGG
Molecule: ribosomal RNA, 253 nt
Filed under: uncultured bacterium
Lineage: Bacteria
Description: partial 16S ribosomal RNA
Rfam family: Bacterial small subunit ribosomal RNA
Source: RNAcentral